ACGGAAGGUGCGAGCGUUAAUCGGAAUUACUGGGCGUAAAGCGCACGUAGGCGGUUACUUAAGUCGGAUGUGAAAGCCCCGGGCUCAACCUGGGAAUUGCAUCCGAUACUGGGUGACUAGAGUACGGUAGAGGGGGGUGGAAUUCCAGGUGUAGCGGUGAAAUGCGUAGAGAUCUGGAGGAACACCGGUGGCGAAGGCGGCCCGCUGGGCCAUUCCUGACGCUCAGAUGCGAAAGCUAGGGGAGAGAACGG
This 251-nucleotide ribosomal RNA is filed under the name uncultured prokaryote. RNAcentral describes it as "partial 16S ribosomal RNA". It matches the Rfam family "Bacterial small subunit ribosomal RNA", at positions 525 to 775 of the family's 1533-position model. The record is from RNAcentral.